Molecule: long non-coding RNA, 452 nt
Organism: Balaenoptera acutorostrata (minke whale)
Lineage: Eukaryota; Metazoa; Chordata; Mammalia; Artiodactyla; Balaenopteridae
Exons: 3
Source: RefSeq, a predicted model, not a curated record
CCGAGACUUUAAAAAGCCUCUUGGCUCCCCAGCUCCCCGGACUGGAGUAGAACAAUUCCAGGAUGGCAUCCCCCCCCUACGAACUGGCAGCUGGGAAAAACUUGCAAGCAAUUCAUGUGCUGGAAUACGCACACAAUAGGGAAGUGGUGGAAAAUAUGGGUUAUUUAAAAUGGACGUGUCUGCUCCAUGCCUCCCCUCCCCCCAGUGAGCUUCUAGCACACACUUGGAACCACCUGGGUCCCCAGCUAAAAUGAGGGCCUCCAAGACAGGAAAGACGCAGCUGCCCUGUGACCCUAAAUAAGGAAAGAAGACGCAGAGAUGUCUAUCGCCCAAGGUGCCAGAGCUGGCGACUUGAACCCAGGCAAUCUGAUUCCAGUUAGAAUGAAUGAAUGAAUGCUUCUCCAAGUAGUUAUAAUAAAUAAAAAGGAUCCGACACACUGCCUAGCAAGCAU